This 465-nucleotide ribosomal RNA is filed under the name Vreelandella stevensii. RNAcentral describes it as "partial 16S ribosomal RNA". It matches the Rfam family "Bacterial small subunit ribosomal RNA", at positions 338 to 795 of the family's 1533-position model. Lineage: Bacteria; Pseudomonadati; Pseudomonadota; Gammaproteobacteria; Oceanospirillales; Halomonadaceae. The record is from RNAcentral.
CCUACGGGGGGCUGCAGUGGGGAAUAUUGGACAAUGGGCGAAAGCCUGAUCCAGCCAUGCCGCGUGUGUGAAGAAGGCCUUCGGGUUGUAAAGCACUUUCAGUGGGGAAGAAAGCCUUGGGGCUAAUACCCUCGAGGAAGGACAUCACCCACAGAAGAAGCACCGGCUAACUCCGUGCCAGCAGCCGCGGUAAUACGGAGGGUGCGAGCGUUAAUCGGAAUUACUGGGCGUAAAGCGCGCGUAGGCGGUCUGAUAAGCCGGUUGUGAAAGCCCCGGGCUCAACCUGGGAACGGCAUCCGGAACUGUCAGGCUAGAGUGCAGGAGAGGAAGGUAGAAUUCCCGGUGUAGCGGUGAAAUGCGUAGAGAUCGGGAGGAAUACCAGUGGCGAAGGCGGCCUUCUGGACUGACACUGCCGCUGAGGUGCGAAAGCGUGGGUAGCAAACAGGAUUAGAUACCCUAGUAGUC